GGUUCCGUAGUGUAGUGGUUAUCACGUUCCCCUUCACAGGGAAAGGGUUCCGGUUCGACCCCGGGGAACCA
Molecule: non-coding RNA, 71 nt
Organism: Trichonephila inaurata madagascariensis
Lineage: Eukaryota; Metazoa; Arthropoda; Arachnida; Araneae; Nephilidae
Source: the annotation of a GenBank genome assembly